This 1650-nucleotide ribosomal RNA is filed under the name Proasellus cavaticus. Its description in RNAcentral is "bacterial LSU rRNA". It matches the Rfam family "Bacterial large subunit ribosomal RNA", at positions 1285 to 2925 of the family's 2925-position model. The record is from RNAcentral. Lineage: Eukaryota; Metazoa; Arthropoda; Malacostraca; Isopoda; Asellidae.
GAAGUGCGAAUGCUGACAUGAGUAGCGUUAAAGGGGGUGAAAAGCCCCCUCGCCGAAAGCGCAAGGUUUCCUACGCAACGUUCAUCGGCGUAGGGUGAGUCGGCCCCUAAGGCGAGGCAGAGAUGCGUAGUUGAUGGGAAACGGGUUAAUAUUCCCGUACCGAUUGCAAGUGCGAUGUGGGGACGAAUUUUUGCAGUUUGACCACUUAUUGGAUUGUGGUUUCUGACCUGUAGGCGUCUGGUAGGCAAAUCCGCCAGACAUAUACCGAGGGGUUGGAUGUAAGCGAAUUUAUUCGCCGAACCAAAUGAAUGAAGUUCCAGGAAAAGCCACUAAGCUUCAGCUUGCAACGACCGUACCGCAAACCGACACUGGUGCGCGAGAUGAGUAUUCUAAGGCGCUUGAGAGAACUCUGGAGAAGGAACUCGGCAAAUUGACACCGUAACUUCGGAAGAAGGUGUGCCUUUAGUAUGUGAACUGAACAAGGGAGCAGAACGAGGUCUCAGAGAAUCGGUGGCUGCGACUGUUUAUUAAAAACACAGCACUCUGCAAACACGAAAGUGGACGUAUAGGGUGUGACGCCUGCCCGGUGCCGGAAGGUUAAUUGAUGGGGUUAGCGCAAGCGAAGCUCUUGAUCGAAGCCCCGGUAAACGGCGGCCGUAACAAUAACGGUCCUAAGGUAGCGAAAUUCCUUGUCGGGUAAGUUCCGACCUGCACGAAUGGCGUAACGAUGGCCACACUGUCUCCUCCUGAGACUCAGCGAAGUUGAAAUGUUUGUGAUGAUGCAAUCUCCCCGCGGAAAGACGGAAAGACCCCAUGAACCUUUACUGUAGCUUUGUAUUGGAUUUUGAACGGAUCUGUGUAGGAUAGGUGGGAGGCUUUGAAGCUGGGACGCUAGUUCUAGUGGAGCCAACGUUGAAAUACCACCCUGGUGCGUUUGAGGUUCUAACCUAGGUCCAUUAUCUGGAUCGGGGACAGUGCAUGGUAGGCAGUUUGACUGGGGCGGUCUCCUCCCAAAGCGUAACGGAGGAGUUCGAAGGUACGCUAGUUACGGUCGGACAUCGUGACGAUAGUGCAAUGGCAUAAGCGUGCUUAACUGCGAGACUGACAAGUCGAGCAGAUGCGAAAGCAGGACAUAGUGAUCCGGUGGUUCUGUAUGGAAGGGCCAUCGCUCAACGGAUAAAAGGUACUCUGGGGAUAACAGGCUGAUACCGCCCAAGAGUUCAUAUCGACGGCGGUGUUUGGCACCUCGAUGUCGGCUCAUCUCAUCCUGGGGCUGUAGCCGGUCCCAAGGGUAUGGCUGUUCGCCAUUUAAAGAGGUACGUGAGCUGGGUUUAAAACGUCGUGAGACAGUUUGGUCCCUAUCUUCCGUGGGCGCUGCAGAUUUGAGGAAGCCUGCUCCUAGUACGAGAGGACCGGAGUGGACGAACCUCUGGUGUUCCGGUUGUCACGCCAGUGGCAUUGCCGGGUAGCUAUGUUCGGAAAAGAUAACCGCUGAAAGCAUCUAAGCGGGAAACUUGCCUCAAGAUGAGAUCUCACUGGAACCUUGAGUUCCCUAAAGGGCCGUCGAAGACUACGACGUUGAUAGGUUGGGUGUGUAAGCGCUGUGAGGCGUUGAGCUAACCAAUACUAAUGGCCCGACUCUGCGUUGAU